Microcebus murinus (gray mouse lemur) is the source of this 6094-nucleotide non-coding RNA. NCBI's taxonomy places the organism in Eukaryota, Metazoa, Chordata, Mammalia, Primates, Cheirogaleidae. The record is from RefSeq and is a predicted model, not a curated record.
UUGGGCUCCUGGAUUGCUGGAUCACCACACCCAGCCUCAUUUUUUAAAAUACGAUGUCUCCUGGCACACUUACAGCAAUGAUUGUUGAGGUACUGCUAAUUAUGCUGCAUGUUAUUGUAAUGUCUUUGGGAACACAAAGAGAUUUCUGUUUUUGUCUGUGAACUGGCCACAUUUCCCAUGUUACCAGCUAACGGGAAGGAAAUUUCAAUCAGGAGCCUGCAUUUUUCAGCAGCCCCACCUUCUCCACAAGUACACACAUCCUGAAACUGAGGAAAUAACGUGUCGCUUAGCUGGACUGAGGUCUCAUGACUGUCUCUCUGCUGCCUGCCUGAUCCUGCUGGGGAAACAUGCGCUGACUUUGGGAAGAAAACAUCAAAAGCAAGGAGGUGAGGACACAGAUGUCUGCCUUGAGGAGGAAGCCAGGCUAGCUGCUGGGUCAGGUGCCUGGCGCGGCCAUUCAGGGCUGAGAGCGGCCAAGAUCUGAGAGUCCACUAGGUGGCGCCCGUCCACACCGCUGGUCUUUAACACGUUACUUAUGUGUCAUUAGAACAAGGUUGCUGAUCAGGGCCACUGGGCUCAUGAGCCCGUCAAGCUACAUCACUGCCAAAGAAAGUAAAACCUUUUUGCCACAGAAAGGAAAUUUCACAGUUCACAGGGAGUAUUACCUGAUGUUGGACGCUGAGGCUUAUUCUGACACCCACAGUGGUACAGAAAUGUCAGUGUGUCCCAUCUUCACAUACAAAAGUUAAUGACAAAACUCUCCUUUUCAGGCCUGUGUAAUUGACCCCAGUAAAGUCUUGUCCCUUUAAUGAGAGCUCCUUGUGCUCCUCCAGCCCCCUGUGAGGCUCCCGCUGUCCCUCACCACCUCUGACAAUUGCCCCAUCAGCCGGCAGGGCCACCCACCCUGUCGGAAGGUGGUGACGGUGCAUUGAAAAUGGCCGGGGUUGCCGUGUCACAUGCUCAUUGGCCAGGAAUAGGGGUCGUCACUAGGAACCUCACAUCCUCCAUGGACAUGACCGUUUCCUCUUGGACUAACUUGAGUCACUCUCGCCCGGGACCUCGCGAAACAGAAAGACUCUCUAGGAAUAGAGUCCUAGCCUUGGACUGAAACCAACAGGACACUCAUCAUGUUUUCUAAGGAAUCGCUUAUUUCCUUUAUAACAACCGAGGUCAUGAACCUCGCCGUGUGUAUACUGGCUGACUAUAUCGUGUUGAAGAUGGAGGAAUUCCUACAUGAGCGAUUAACGGUGCCUGCAAUGGGACACGCAGUCGUCAUCUUAAAGAGGGUUGCAUCAUUAGUGAUCAAACGAAUGCUCAGGUAUCUACUGAAGGCCACAGUUUUGGUUCCAUACAAUAAGUUGGCUGUGCAAGGUUUCCGAAACAAGCUCACAUAUUUCUUCAACAAGAUGAAGCGUCUAAUCCCAGCACAAUUGAUUGUGCAAUCUACUUAUCCAUUUAGCAUGGUCUCAGAAGGAACAUGGAGAACAAGAAGAAGGUCCUCCUCUCGGGAAGAAAUUCUUGAGGGUCUGCACCCUCCGAUGUCGUCCACACGUGCAGACGUCUCUGUAAUUCUGGGAUCAAACACUCCCUAACUCUAGGAUCUGGAUUCACACACACACCAACGUGAAUCUUGACACUAAAAAAUAAAGUUAGAUUUAGCUGGACUGACGUCUCAUGCGUGUUUCUGUGCCCACCAUCUGCUCAUGCUGGGGUGAGUCUCUGGGCUGUAUUUGGGGAGGGGGUUGUCUGAAUGUGGUGACAGGCGUGAGAUGGGGGAGAAGAUCAAUACGGGUCUGGGGAGCUGAGGGCUGGGAGCCUGCUGGGUGUAGGGAAAGGGGAAGAUUCAGGAGUGAGAUUCCAUGGUCGAGUCCUGUGGGUGUUUGAGAACCUGCUGCUGAGAAAGGGAAGCUCCAGGGGGGAACAAGGGCAGACCUGGUGCCCUGGGGGCUCCUCCUAAGUGAGGGGAGGAACCAUAUAAAGAUCAGAGUGGAAAUGGCCUCAUGAAGACUCAGGUGUGACAAUAAAAAGGGCCCCAACAGUCUAUUUGGGGGUGAGAAGCUUUCAGGGGACAAAUAUUGCUGGUGACAGAGGAAAAGUGAGGCUCUGAAGCCACCAAGACAUCCCUGGCAGUGUAGAAGCCACCUUCAAGGACUCCUGGACACUCUGAGCCAUCUUGUGAGUCCUACAUCCCCCUGCCCUGUUCUCCGUGACAACAUCUGGGGCUCUGGACUCUCCAGGGACAUCCACGUGUCUCCACACAUCUGGGACCAUGCGCUCCCUGGAGCCCAGGGCCUGGGUUCCCACACACCCGUGCUGGCUGUGUCCCCACUUCCGGCCUGUGCACUUGCCAAGGUUGUCUGGGCCCUGGAGCUCCUCCUCCUCCCAUGCCCAGACUCCUAUUAGGCCUCUUCUGGGGUCUAAUUUUCAUUACCUGAUGCAUCUUGGAGUGCCCUACAGGACAGAGGUGGAGAUUGUGCUUUUCCACACUGUGCCCACCCAUACUUGCAAAGCUAUUACCCUAAGCCCUCUGUGAGAUCAUGCUGCCCAAACCUCUCCCUGGUCAGAGAAGGUUACUGGAAAACAUUGGCCCUACGUCUGGAAACCUCGAUCCCCUGUCUCCAUUCCUCACCCCAACCUGGCCCUUCAUUCUCCACUCUUCCCUGAGGCUGGGCGCCAGGCACCUUCUCUGCUCAGACCCCCUCCCUCUCAUGAGAAACUUGCAGCCUCAGCUCCACUUUCCCCCACCCUAUAGCUCACUUUUGUGUCCUUGUACUUGUCACUUCCUCCCUCAGUGGGAUUCUCCCCAUUUGCUCUCCAUUGUCCCGGUGUCAUGGCCCGUGUUGGCCCCUUUCCGGGGACCACUGCACUAACCCUUUAGGUCCUGAGGCCCAACAGCCUUCUGUCUAGACAUGUAUCUGUCUAACUCAAUAGCCAGACAGACACACACACACACUGUCACACAUGCAGGUGGCCCAGUGGCUGCCCCUACUCCAUGUCACCCUGCAAUAGCACUAACCCCACACCUUUGACUCCUGGCUCUGGGUCUGCCCACAGGGGCCUCCCUGAACCCACUUCCUUCUGAGGUGGGUCUGGGGCUUCUCCCUUGCCUUAAUGAACUCCUCUCACGCUGUCUGUGCUUUGCAGCCUACAACCUCCCAUCUCCCCUCUGCCCACGACUUCCCACCCCACCCCACCCCACCCCCACUCACUUUGCAUCUCUGAUGUCCUGCGUGCCACAGAUUCUCAUGUCUCCCUUCAGAAGUGUUUCCACACUGCGGCGUAAGGAUUUACACACUGUUGGUGCCUGCCCAGAUCCCCGUCCCCAAGCUGCUCCUUCCACCUCCGGGGUGCCCACAUCUGCAGAGACUUGCCCUCAGCUGCGUGCAGGCCACAUGGAAGGGUGACUGCCAUUCACCUUCCUUCUGAUAACAGCUGGCAGCCAGUGUCUCACUGUCACACUCAUCACUGGGUCUCCAUAGUGAUGUCACCUCUGUGCUGCAGUGUGUGCACCACAGCCUCCUGGGAUCAGGCUUAAGUCUCCCAUGGAACCAGGGUCUGCUUGGAUUCCCUGGAGCACUUCCUCAAUAAAUCCCUUAAAACAACAUCUCACAGUCUGCUUCUAGAAAAAGACACCCAACAGUAUUCCUAGGAAGCCAACCAUAAGAGUAGUGUUGAGGGUUGGAUGACUUCCCAGGAAAGCCAGUAGGCACCUCAUGACAGCUGCUAGGUGGAGGGAGGACAGUCACCAAGGCAUGUGUCCCCUGUGGGAUCGCUGGUACUUCAUUACAGGGGAUCUUGGAUGAACUACAAGGUAUGCACUGCUGGUACAUUGUCUCUGGGUUUGAUAACUCCAGGGGAGAUGGUAACAACAGGUGUGUGGGAUGGGAUGGCUGCUCACAAGUGGCACUGAGGUGCUGAGAGAAAAAAGGACAGACUCAGACCCAUCACUCAGUGGUUUAAAGUACAGUGUCAGCGGUGGAAGUGAUCCUCCCCUCCUGCAGCCUAAGAGCAGGUACACUUGAGGACCAGCCACAAGACUUGACUCCAAGGAGGAAAACAUCAGAGGACCGAGGAGAGGGGUGCGCCCUGCAGGGAGAUCAGCUACUUCUCCCUGUGAGAAAUCGGGUCCCUUAGGUAAAAGUCGUGACAGAGGAUAAGAAAUUAAUAGGAAAUAGAGAGAAUAAUGGAAAUGAAAGAAUACGCACAGGAAGGUAUAGUUUCAUAGAUUUAUAUAAAGAAAUUAGCAUAAAGCAAGGGUACUCAGGGAUCCCCACUACAUACCCAUUGGUAGUGAGGCAAUGAGGUUAGUUUCACAUAGGUUUUAUAAUCACAGAUAUCAGGUAUUGGUUGCCAGGAGUAACAGAUCUACAUAAUAUCAGGUAUUUCGGUUUGGAUUUAAAAAGUCUUUUCAAGAGACUUCUAAAAUGUCCUAAUCUAUUCUAUCCAUGUGAACAAACAUUUACAAAAUCUUUCAGGGACUAACUUCUAAGUUCUAAGAGACAGCUAUCAUUUAACAGAGGGGUAACACAGAGAUACCGUGGCUCCAUAUUUCUUUUAUCUAAUUGUUGUGAAUUGAGACAGAGAAUCAGAAGGAAGCAGGAACUUGGCUGUUUGUUAAUUGCUCUUAGCCAUAAAUGUCCAUCUCCUCUCUCGGGCUGGGCACUCAUUAUUCUGGCUCCCAUUCUGUGGUGCCAUGUAUAGCUGCCUUGUCUUUCAAGAAUGGGGCGCCACAGGUUUGAGAUAACAGGAGCCAUCUUGGAAUGCAUCUGACUGGAGCUUUGAGCCCUCCCGAGGCAACACAUCCUUUGAUAUGCAAACAAAUGAGUUCACAUGUUCCUUCAGGACAAAGACCUGCAAAACUCCUGAAAUCAUUUCUGUCUUUAAUGUAGCAAUAUUGGGUGAUAAAAUAAUAAUCUUAUCAGCCACAUCUCAUUAAGUCCUCAAUUGUCUUUCCUCAACACACCCUCACCCCAACCUGAGCAGGCAAUGAAGCUUCGCAUUUCAGACAAUCUCUCGCCUGGCCCUAUGUGUGUCUCUCUCUUCCCCUGGCCCACACUGUUCUCCUUUUGCUAUAUUAACUCUGUUGUUACACGGCUUUCUUGAGUUCAGGGAGAAAUGCUACCAGAAUAUCAACCCUGAGAUGUUUAGUAACCCCUGAGUCUGUAACAAGUUGAACAGCCCUAAAUUUGGGCUGGUAUUUGAUGUGAGGUUGCUCAUGACCGGUGGCUUCUGGGCUGACCCUGACUGGUUAGUACCAGAACUGAAUUGCACUGCAGUAUAGCAGUAGGAUCAACAAUCAAAAGGUUAAGAUGUGGGUUAAGGGAGUCCCUGAGAGGAGACUCCAGGUCAAAAACAAGAAAACAAAUACACAAUGCAUGAGCCCCCUGGGGUCCUCAGGAGGGCCAGUUAGCAGUGCACUGGUGAAGAGAUGCCAGCGUCACUGAGAUUUGAAUCACGGUCAUUUCUCUGAGAUCAGAUGUGAAUGUAGGAAAACUGUUGCAGAGCUGUGCUCGAUAGUGCCAGUGGGAUGAUGGGGUCUGGCAAUGACAGAAACCAGCACUAUGCCGUCAAAACCAGGGCGGACAUCAAAUGUGUGUGUCACUUACUGGGCAAUCCAUAGGCAUAAUCAAGAGCGAAAGGCUGAUGUCAGCUGCCCCACAUAACAUCAUUAUCAUUACUAUGUAAAGAUCAGAGACAGAUUUAGAUUCAGAAAUUUUGGAUUCAUAAAAAGGCAGAGUUUCCUUCAAAACCAAGGCAAGUGUACACUAUUGUGAUGCACCAGUUCAUCCUGGACAGAACCCACAGCCAUUAGCAGGUGACAAGGGACUACUGUAAAUGUUCUCGACUGUAGCCCCACCGUAGCUGCUGUGAGGGAUGGUUUACCUUCACUAGAGCAGCACAUGACUCACCUUCAGACAUGUGCUAUGCACAGAAGAGCUGGGAAAUAUAUAUAUUCCAAACACACAGGAGGAUGGAUCAUAAUUAUUCCCACUUACAUGGAAGCAACAGCAGUAUACUUCGUGAUCUCUCCUCCCACCUCUCGCUUUCUCUCUCAUUAUGGUUCUGUAGAGUCCUAAGGGACCUGCCCAUCUCG